AAGCAGCAGAUCGGACCCUACCUUGAACAUACUAAAUCGUCUAUUAUUUUCAGCAGAUGCGCAGAUCUCAUCCUUACCAGCAGUCCUCCGCCUUAGCUCAGGCUGAGAGGCAGCGUCCCGCAGCUGACUUAGAAUUCGAAUCCGGAUCACCUGAAGCAGAUAUGCUGGUGCAACAAUGUCAUGCAUGUCAUGAUGCUGUUGCUCAAAUGGUGCAAAUUAUGGAACGGCAGCAUGGUGCCCACAGUGCUUCUUGCUCACCCAAGGAGCACGUCCAGCCAUGGGAAGACAGAGCCAUCUCCACACGCUUUACUCCAUAUGCAGAAACAGAUUACUGCAUACCGGAUGCUUUUAUUUCAAAUUCCUUUUUUGAUAAUCCCUGGACUGGAAUUUGUCUUUUUCACAGCUUCACAUGCUGAAUUGACAUCUUCGCUGAAGUACCCUCUGCAGCCCCAAGAUUUUUUCCCUGAUUCAUACAGACAGCUUAAAAUGUAUGUUUUGGCCCCCACGUGCAAUGAGUUCAGCAGAGUAGCUGUGUAAACUGCCACGAGUCAUACGAUUCUAAUGGUAUAUAAAUUGUUAAAAAAAAAAAAAAACCAUGGUAAGCCAAAGAGAGGAAAAGCACAUGAGAUAGGAGGCCCCUACUCUCCAGACUUUCCAGAAAGUAGUCAAGACCUGGCUCUGCCACCUGGCAUGGGGCAAGAAAAGGGACAACCAACCCUGGAGGUAGCUAGCGCCUUGAAGAUGCCCCCAUAUGUUAGCAUCUUUUUGACCACCAGCAUCUUGGAAGAUAUUUAUGUUUUGGAGCUCCCAGCAUUACAUCCAAGGCUUUCAGAGAUAUUUCAGGAUGAAGACAUUUAAAUAUGGCAUGGCACCAUUCAGUGUAACUCAUCCACAUGUUUCUGUCAACCAGCCUUCCCAUCUGGGGUGCCCAGAUGUGUUCAUCCACCACAUACAGGAUUCACAGGAACAGUUUUCUUCCCAGCUUGACAACAGUUGCGGCUUCGAUAGAAGACCACCAGAAAAUCCGAGAGCGAUAGGUCGGACUAGGAGGUUGGACAAACAUCUCAGAAAAAGGUAUUAGCAAACCACUUCUGCUCUGUUGCCAAGAGAAAUCUCUCAAAGUCACCAGAUGUUGAGCUCCACUCAAGGGAGAAGAUGAUACUUAUCCUGCCGUUUUCCAGUUGACCACCUUACACACAGUAUUAUUUGUUAACUCCUUUGAUUACAGAGCAGCUAAGUCCCAUCUUCCCCCAAAGCUCUGAAUCUAAAUAAAAUCCUGAAUGUUGCAUCUGUAAUCAAUAGCACCAUUGUAUGACUUUAAUGGGGCACAUUCUUCAAAUGACAGAAUAAAUUCAUACAAAUCUUUUGUGUGUGUCACAUCAUUGUAAUAGGGUUUGAAAGUUACAGCCCUAGGAUUACUUGCUUUUCUAGUAUUUGCUAUUGUUCUUGCUAUUGUUAUAACAUAGGACAAAACUGAGAGAGUAAAUUAUGGACCAUUGCUCUCCCCCUGCAACUCCCCGUAUGCCUGCUAGGAAUUUACUGCAGGAAAGAGAGUUUCGUUCUUGUCACAAGUAGCCUGAUAUAUUGGCAACUUAACUGUUCUCUCCCUUCUUUCCUUUCCCAGAGUAGCCAUUCAUAAUUUU
Molecule: non-coding RNA, 1643 nt
Organism: Python bivittatus (Burmese python)
Lineage: Eukaryota; Metazoa; Chordata; Lepidosauria; Squamata; Pythonidae
Source: RefSeq, a predicted model, not a curated record